AGUGAACGCUGGCGGUAGGCCUAACACAUGCAAGUCGAACGGCAGCACAGUAAGAGUUUGCUCUUACGGGUGGCGAGUGGCGGACGGGUGAGGAAUACAUCGGAAUCUACUUUUUCGUGGGUGACAACGUAGGGACACUUACGCUAAUACCGCAUAUGACCUACGGGUGAAAGCAGGGGAUCUUCGGACCUUGCGCGAUUGUAUGAGCCGAUGUCGGAUUAGCUAGUUGGCGGGGUAAAGGCCCACCAAGGCGACGAUCCGUAGCUGGUCUGAGAGGAUGAUCAGCCACACUGGAACUGAGACACGGUCCAGACUCCUACGGGAGGCAGCAGUGGGGAAUCUUGGGCAAUGGGCGCAAGCCUGAUCCAGCCAUACCGCGUGAGUGAAGAAGGCCUUCGGGUUGUAAAGCCCUUUUGUUGGGGAAGAAAAACAGCAGGUUAAUACCCCGCUGUUCUGACGGUACCCAAAGAAUAAGCACCGGCUAACUUCGUG
This 492-nucleotide ribosomal RNA is filed under the name uncultured bacterium. RNAcentral describes it as "partial 16S ribosomal RNA". It matches the Rfam family "Bacterial small subunit ribosomal RNA", at positions 29 to 507 of the family's 1533-position model. The record is from RNAcentral.